GUGUCAGCAGCCGCGGUAAGACGAACCGUGCGAACGUUAUUCGGAAUCACUGGGCUUAAAGCGCGUGUAGGCGGGUGGGGACGUCGGCAUCUGAAAGCCCCCGGCUCAACCGGGGAAGGGGAUCCGAAACGCCCCAUCUGGAGGGACGUAGGGGGGCCUGGAACUUCCGGUGGAGCGGUGAAAUGCGUUGAGAUCGGAAGGAACGCCCGUGGCGAAAGCGAGGCCCUGGACGUCUGCUGACGCUGAGACGCGAAAGCUAGGGGAGCGAACGGGAUUAGAUACCCUUGUAGUCC
Molecule: ribosomal RNA, 293 nt
Filed under: uncultured bacterium
Lineage: Bacteria
Description: partial 16S ribosomal RNA
Rfam family: Bacterial small subunit ribosomal RNA
Source: RNAcentral